AACGAACGCUGGCGGCAUGCCUAACACAUGCAAGUCGAACGAGACCUUCGGGCCUAGUGGCGCACGGGUGCGUAACGCCUGGGAACCUGCCCUUAGGUUCGGAAUAACUCCCCGAAAGGGGAGCUAAUACCGGAUAAUGUCUUCGGACCAAAGAUUUAUCGCCUUUGGAUGGGCCCGCGUUGGAUUAGCCAGUUGGUAGGGUAAAAGCCUACCAAGGCGACGAUCCAGAGCUGGUCUGAGAGGAUGAUCAGCCACACUGGGGCUGAGACACGGCCCAGACUCCUACGGGAGGCAGCAGUGGGGAAUAUUGGACAAUGGGCGAAAGCCUGAUCCAGCAAUGCCGCGUGAGUGAUGAAGGCCUUAGGGUUGUAAAUCUCUUUUACCCGGGAUGAUAAUGACAGUACCGGGAGAAGAAGCUCCGGCUAACUCCGUG
Molecule: ribosomal RNA, 433 nt
Filed under: uncultured bacterium
Lineage: Bacteria
Description: partial 16S ribosomal RNA
Rfam family: Bacterial small subunit ribosomal RNA
Source: RNAcentral